Molecule: transfer RNA, 77 nt
Filed under: Escherichia coli
Lineage: Bacteria; Pseudomonadati; Pseudomonadota; Gammaproteobacteria; Enterobacterales; Enterobacteriaceae
Also listed under: 2 other names
Description: tRNA-Arg
Rfam family: tRNA
About the family: Transfer RNA (tRNA) molecules are approximately 80 nucleotides in length. Their secondary structure includes four short double-helical elements and three loops (D, anti-codon, and T loops).
Source: RNAcentral
GCAUCCGUAGCUCAGCUGGAUAGAGUACUCGGCUACGAACCGAGCGGUCGGAGGUUCGAAUCCUCCCGGAUGCACUA